NNNNNNUGCCGGGUCCCGGCUCGGGAGAGGGUCCCCGGGUCGCCAAACGCCGGCGGGGCGGCUGCAGGGCUGCGUCCUGGCAGGGGGAUGUCACCGAAAUCGACGGGGGGGGCGGUUCCCAGGGGCCGCCAAGUCCCGACGGAGCGGCCGGGGGGCUGCAUCCCGGCGUGGUGAGGGCUCCCUGGGGCUGCUGGACCCCGACGGGGCGGCGGGGGGCUGCGUCCCGGCACGGAGCGGGGGGGCUCCCCAGGGAGCAGGCGUCUGGCCCGGCCUCCCCCCGGGCCCCCGUCUCCGCUAACAGGCGCCGCGAGGCUCCGAGGGGCUUUUCCCACCUCGCCGGCUGCAGCGUCGGCCGGGGAUGCUCCGGGCGCGGGAUCUCCUUGCAUGCCGGCCGCAGCUCCCGGCUGCCUGUGCGGCACCUGCACCUCCGGCUCAGCCGGCACGAGCUCCGGCAGCUCCGGAGGGACGGGAGCCUCCCGCCCCAACGAGGUUUCCGGGAGCAGCCGGGCCGGCCGACGCGGCCUCCCUGCCGGCGCUCCGACAGGGCGGGCUGGUUCCCGCUCCGGGGGCGGGAGGCUCCGUUGGAUCCCGGCCGCGUUCCCGCCGUGGGGCCGGCCGCCGGGCCACGGCCUCGACGCGCGGGCGGGAUCCCGGCCGUCGCCAUCCGACGGGGCCGGCGCUCGGUGCCGGGAGCUGCCGGAGCACCCGUGUGCCGGCGCCGUGGCCGCUCCGCGCUCGCCGGUGGUGUUCCCAGGUGCGCGAGCUGGGAGCGGGGACCGGGAUCGGGCUCUCGGCAGACGCUCCGGGUGGGGGAACGCCGGCGGCGGCUCCGCAGCGUCCCCAAGCCCCGUCUGGGGACGCAGCUUGUGCCGGCAGCUGGCGGCUGGGGAAGUUCAGCCGAGCUUUUCCGGGGAGGAAAAGCGACUUGUGAAUCGCUGCCUGGUGGCUCGUAGUAACACGGCGGGAGCGUGUGCGAGGCGCCGCGUCCUUCCGGCGGUGCGGAGGGGGAAGCGGCACCUCCGGCCCCGCCAGCCGGAUAAUUUAUGCACACGGAGCGCAGCAGAUGGUCCGGGCUUGUUCUUCCCUCCUCUCCUCUCACCCGCCGCUGCCGAGGAGGGAGCGGAUCCCACCAGGCGCCGGGGCCGGGGCCGCUCCGGGACGGGUGGUCUGGCACCUCCGCGGGGCCAGGAG
Molecule: long non-coding RNA, 1191 nt
Filed under: Apteryx haastii (Great spotted kiwi)
Lineage: Eukaryota; Metazoa; Chordata; Aves; Apterygiformes; Apterygidae
Description: lncRNA (ENSAHAG00000002486.1)
Source: RNAcentral